GCGGACGUGGUGGAAUUGGUAGACACGUCAGAUUUAGGUUCUGAUGGUUAGUACCGUGGGGGUUCGAGUCCCUCCGUCCGCACCA
RNAcentral lists this transfer RNA (85 nucleotides) under Holosporaceae bacterium. RNAcentral describes it as "tRNA-Leu". It matches the Rfam family "tRNA". From Rfam's summary of the family: Transfer RNA (tRNA) molecules are approximately 80 nucleotides in length. Their secondary structure includes four short double-helical elements and three loops (D, anti-codon, and T loops). The record is from RNAcentral. Lineage: Bacteria; Pseudomonadati; Pseudomonadota; Alphaproteobacteria; Holosporales; Holosporaceae.